RNAcentral lists this ribosomal RNA (500 nucleotides) under uncultured bacterium. RNAcentral describes it as "partial 16S ribosomal RNA". It matches the Rfam family "Bacterial small subunit ribosomal RNA", at positions 30 to 523 of the family's 1533-position model. The record is from RNAcentral.
AUUGAACGCUGGCGGAAUGCUUUACACAUGCAAGUCGAACGGCAGCACGGGGGCAACCUUGGUGGCGAGUGGCGAACGGGUGAGUAACACAUCGGAACAUGCCCAGUCGUGGGGGAUAACGUAGCGAAAGUUACGCUAAUACCGCAUACGAUCUAAGGAUGAAAGCGGGGGACCGUAAGGCCUCGCGCGAUUGGAGUGGCCGAUGCCAGAUUAGGUAGUUGGUUGGGUAAAGGCUCACCAAGCCAACGAUCUGUAGCUGGUCUGAGAGGACGACCAGCCACACUGGGACUGAGACACGGCCCAGACUCCUACGGGAGGCAGCAGUGGGGAAUUUUGGACAAUGGGCGCAAGCCUGAUCCAGCCAUUCCGCGUGCAGGACGAAGGCCUUCGGGUUGUAAACUGCUUUUGUACGGAGCGAAAAGCCUUGGGUUAAUACCUCGGGGUCAUGACGGUACCGUAAGAAUAAGCACCGGCUAACUACGUGCCAGCCGCCGCGGUAA